GAUGAACGCUGGCGGCGUGCCUAAUACAUGCAAGUCGAGCGAACGGACGAGAAGCUUGCUUCUCUGAUGUUAGCGGCGGACGGGUGAGUAACACGUGGAUAACCUACCUAUAAGACUGGGAUAACUUCGGGAAACCGGAGCUAAUACCGGAUAAUAUUUUGAACCGCAUGGUUCAAAAGUGAAAGACGGUCUUGCUGUCACUUAUAGAUGGAUCCGCGCUGCAUUAGCUAGUUGGUAAGGUAACGGCUUACCAAGGCAACGAUGCAUAGCCGACCUGAGAGGGUGAUCGGCCACAAUGGAACUGAGACACGGUCCAGACUCCGACGGGAGGCAGCAGUAGGGAAUCUUACGCAAUGGGCGAAAGCCUGACGGAGCAACGCCGCGUGAGUGAUGAAGGUCUUCGGAUCGUAAAACUCUGUUAUUAGGGAAGAACAUAUGUGUAAGUAACUGUGCACAUCUUGACGGUACCUAAUCAGAAAGCCACGGCUAACUACGUG
This 497-nucleotide ribosomal RNA is filed under the name uncultured bacterium. RNAcentral describes it as "partial 16S ribosomal RNA". It matches the Rfam family "Bacterial small subunit ribosomal RNA", at positions 28 to 507 of the family's 1533-position model. The record is from RNAcentral.